AUGUGUGAGCAAUGCUACAUUUUUAAAUAUAAGUUUAAUUUCUAAAUCAUAUUCAGUAAUUAUCCCACAGCGCCCCGUAUCCCCAUGGUGCCCUGUAGACCUACAACAUGUGUUUCCCAGCUUUUAUUGACUCCUGGUGUCAUGAUGUCACCAGGACCACGAUGACGUCAUCAGCAUCAUUAAUGACACAGUGCCCCAUAGACGCCCCACUCCCCGCCCCCGCAACCCCUAAGUACCCCAACACCAGUCGAUUUUUGUAUUCGUUUUCAUUCCUUUUUUUUUUUAAACUUACUUUCACUUUUAUUUGAGUUUUAUUCAUGAUUGCUCAGUUUUUGCUGACUUUUUUUUGCUGCGCCUUUUUGCUGCGCCUUUUUGCUGCGCCUUGGCUCACUCUUGGCUGAGGUUUGGCUGAGGUUUUGCUCACUUUUUGCUGAGUUUUUGCUGAGAUUUUGGCUGAGGUUUUUGCUGAGUUUUUGGCUGAGUUUUGUCUGAGUUCUUGGCUGAGUUUUUGGCUCACUUUUGGUUCACUUUUGACUGAGUUUUGGUUGAGUUUUUGGCUGAGUUUUGGCUGGUUUUUGGCUUUGGUUUUUGGCUGAGUUUUUGGCUGAGUUUUUGGCUGAGUUUUUGGCUGAGUUUUUGGCUGAGUUUUUGGCUGAGUUUUUGGCUGAGUUUUUGUCCUAGAUCUUGUCCGAGUUUUGGCUGAGAGGUUUUGGCUGAGAGGUUUUGGCUGAGAGGUGUUGGCUGAGAGGUGUUGGCUGAGAGGUGUUGGCUGAGAGGUGUUGGCUGAGAGGUGUUGGCUGAGAGGUGUUGGCUGAGAGGUGUUGGCUGAGUGUUGGCUGAGUGUUGGCUGAGGUUUUAGCAGAGUUUGGCUGAGUGUUGGCUGAGGUUUUAGCAGAGUUUGGCUGAGUGUUGGCUGAGGUUUUAGCAGAGUUUGGCUGAGUGUUGGCUGAGGUUUUAGCAGAGUUUGGCUGAGUGUUGGCUGAGGUUUUAGCAGAGUUUGGCUGAGUGUUGGCUGAGGUUUUAGCAGAGUUUUGGCUGAGAUUUGGAUGUGUUUUUUUCCGAGUCGUGGGGUCAUAUUUAGAGGAGAAUGGACAUAUGAUGAACCAGCCAUAUGAGAGCCUCUUCUAAGCACGUAGCCACGUACCAAGAAGAAGAUAAGAGGAAGAAAACAUCUGCAGUCGGAUACAUGGGAGGAACACCAGGAACUAGAUUAACCAUUGGUGACCCCGACGUGAUCGUCAGACGAUAGUACCGGGAGCAACUCCGAAGGAGAGGACGAGCUGGAGAGCCGAGCCAGCGGGACUGGAGUCGGAGCAGAUCAGAGGACGGUCCGUGAAAAAGAACGUACGUUGCAACGGGACACCCUUAGAGCGAUGAAGGCAGAGCGAUCAGCUGCUGCCGGAGCUUUUAUAGCUUUACAGCUCCCAUCGUCUGAGAUCAAAAUUUUCAAUUGGCUCCCUGUCCCUUCCCCCGCUGCCCUAUCGGCACCUCCGAUAGAGGACGAGGUGGAUUCCUGGAAAGACGAGGGGAUGGAAGUGGAUGAAUCCUGGCCUGUACCGCUGCCUCCCGACCCUUGCGUAGAAAAGCCACCCAGGGAGAGCCGCCACCCGUCCCACCCGACCCGUCUCGCCCCAAGAGGCAGCCAUCGCUUUUUCCACCUCUCCCUCUGUCCGUGCCUCCCCCGCCAACGUCUCCAUGAAAAUCAUCCACGCUCGAGCCCCACAGGGAACCGGACUGGGCACAGAAACUACUUCGAAAGUUGUAGGAUUUGGAAAGAGAUAAGAUCGCUCAAGAAGAACACGUGGGAGGAGGAGGGUGUGAUAGCACGCUUGGGAAGCUCCAGGGGGUGGGGGGAGGCAAGAGGCGAAGCUGCAGGAAGCUCCAGGGGGUGGGGGGAGGCGACAGGCGAAACUGCUAAAACUGACGGGGACCCAACACGGCGAUGGAGAGGGAUUAUUCAGAAUGCGUUAGUGGAAGGAGAAUUCCUUCCUGCGGCAUUCCUGGUAAUUUUGGGUGGAACGACACCGGGCGGGCUGCAGCGACCUAAUCAUUGGGAGGGCUUUCAUUGGGAAAUCAUGAAGGAGGCAUUACUAAUGUCGUUAGCUGUGCAAAAUGCUAAUGUUGCAUGCAAGCGCGUUCUAAUGGCUUUAUCAAAAAAUUCUAGUAUUGUGCAAAUGGUGGAGGCAUAACCUAAAAAAAAAAAACAAAAAACAAAACCCAACCAAAAGAACAUAAUAAUUGUCCUGGUAUAAGAUAAAUCGUUGUAGCUGGCAUGGUUUUGGGACCUUAUGACCUUCAUACAAAAUUUAUUGUAACCAAAACAGGACUGCAGGUAAGGAGUAUCUGAAACUAAGCAGAUGUUCAGGAGGUGAUGUAGUGAAGGUAACUGAUAACUAGAAGGACAAGGAGAAAUCACUCAUUUAUGUCAGCAGUGUUACCGAACUAAUUAAGCUGGUGUAAACAUUUAUCUACUGUGCAUGCUUCAAAGACUUCCAGAGCAAGAGUUCAAGGAAUGGCCAAGUGAUGAGGAUUGUUGGAAGAAGUAAAACGACCACCAAAGACCACUACCACAUUGUUACGCACAUGCGAAAAUAGGCAUGGAAUUAUGUGUGGGGUUGUAUUUGGAGGACAGCGGACAUGUGAUGAGCCAGCCGUAUGAGGGCCUCUUCUAAGCAUGCAGCUGCAUACCAAGAAGAAGAUAAGAGGAUGUGAACCAGCCAUCAGAGAGCUGCUUCUAAACACGUAGCUGCAUACCAAGAAGAAGAUAAGAGGAAGAAAACAUCUGCAGUCGGAUACAUGGGAAGAACAGCAGGAAUUAGGUGAUCCAAUAAGGACACUUACCAAGCCGCGUGAUUGCCUCGUGCAAGAGGGCUUUUACCAAUCAAAAGGUGCGUGACCGCAUGUAGAGGUAGAAAACUCUGUAUAUAAAGGGAUCGUGGGAACAAUAAAGUGGCUUCUGCUUGAUUCACAUUGAAUUGUGUAGGGUCCAUUGUCGUCUCUCCUCAAUUAUGUAAAACGAUUCUCGGACAACUAAUGAAUAUGUAUGACGUUUAUCAGAAAUGUAAUGAAUAUGUAUGUUAAGUAACAAUAUAAUCAUGGUCUGUUUGAUGCUUAAACGAGACACACAUUAGGAGCAGUUAUCCCCUGUGUCUCCUGGCGCCGCAAUAAAGAAUACCUGCUUGUCAACUUAAA
This is a long non-coding RNA of Strigops habroptila (Kakapo), 3192 nucleotides long. RefSeq lists it as uncharacterized. NCBI's taxonomy places the organism in Eukaryota, Metazoa, Chordata, Aves, Psittaciformes, Psittacidae. The transcript is spliced from 3 exons. The record is from RefSeq and is a predicted model, not a curated record.